GGUGGGUGCUGGGAGUGCUGGGGAUCAGGGGCCAGCCCAGGUCUGCCUUGACUCGGUCCCCCCCUCCUCUCCACCCCUGCAGUCUCUGCUAAGGCCAAGUCUCAGUCUGGCUGCCAGCUCCCUAUUUAAAGAACACACAGCACCGGACUGAAAGGCAGCAGGUCCCCUGGAAGACUCAGAAGAUGUAGUCCUGUCUCUAGGACCAUCUAACGACGUGGCCUCUGUCACAUACCCCCUCUGAGCCUUAGUUUUCUCAUCUGUGACGUGAAAGGGUUGGACCAGGGCUGGGCACAUGGAAGAUCUUUGAUACUCUCUUUUUAAAUAGAUGGAGGAAUAGGCUGGUAGAUGGUAACAAAUGGGAGAGAUGGAUGAAUACACGGAUGAAGGGGCCACUGGUGGUCCAGGAACAGGGUGUACAAUAGGGCACAAGACGGAGACUUGGAGCCUGGACUCUAGAUCAGGAGUAGAGUGAAGCGAGCACCUCCUUACCGCCUUGGUACACUGGACAUCCUUCCCCAGCAGCCAGUUGAGCUCCAGGUUGCCCUCGCCCUGGUAGCAGGACUGCAGGCGGUACUUGAUCUACUCUGUGCUGUUACGUGAAGCUGAGUGGUUGUCCUUCGCCCCAGAGGGAGAGAGUAGGAAGGUGAUGGGAGAUGGAAGAAAAUGGGCUUCUGCCUCUGUGCCCUCUUGGCACCCUCCCUCUGAGAAGGGGAACCAGGUGAGACUGUGGACCCCCAGACCAUGUCAACACAACUCUUGGUGACCAUUUCCAUCCCGUUACCUUCUUUCACCGCGAGAAGAGAGAUCUCCUGCGUAUCUCUACAUGCAAUCCCUUUUACAGAACCUGUUUUCCCAGCUAUAAAAGGACACCUCACAGGGUUGAGGUGAGAAUCAACGAGACAAUGGAUGUGAAAGUGUUUCUGUAAACUCUACAGCUCGGAAUAAACACCAAUUACUCGCGUUUCUGUUUUGGGGGGAAACACUGUACAAGGGCAUCAUCUCCUUGGUAGUCACAGCUGUCCUGUAUGAUGGCAACAGAGGCUGAGCCAGUUUCACCCAGGUGAGGGGUGAUUCUGUGUCACUGCAUUCCCCAACUCCCAGCUCCGAGGAGAGACCAAGAAGGCACUGGGUGCAGCUGGUCCCUAGUAGCCACUCUCCCCAGUCCCUUUGUCCCCAUACUGCCCAGAUUACUACCCAACAACUCUCAUAGCCUUGAGGAUGAUUGAACAAAUGGUCACUUCUCCUGCUCUUGGUGGUUCAUCCAGGAACCCUGGGCAGCAAAGAAGGAAUGGAAAGCAUUUCCAUAGAAAGAAGAGAUGCUGAAAAGUUUCACAGGCUAGAGAUCCACAUCCCGUGGUCUCUACCCAUACUCUCCUAACAG
This is a long non-coding RNA of Artibeus jamaicensis (Jamaican fruit-eating bat), 1381 nucleotides long. RefSeq lists it as uncharacterized. The transcript is spliced from 6 exons. The record is from RefSeq and is a predicted model, not a curated record. NCBI's taxonomy places the organism in Eukaryota, Metazoa, Chordata, Mammalia, Chiroptera, Phyllostomidae.